RNAcentral lists this ribosomal RNA (417 nucleotides) under uncultured bacterium. RNAcentral's name for it is "bacterial SSU rRNA". It matches the Rfam family "Bacterial small subunit ribosomal RNA", at positions 28 to 412 of the family's 1533-position model. The record is from RNAcentral.
GACGAACGCUGGCGGCGUGCCUAAUACAUGCAAGUCGAACGCACUCUCGUUUAGAUUGAAGGAGCUUGCUCCUGAUUGAUAAACAUUUGAGUGAGUGGCGGACGGGUGAGUAACACGUGGGUAACCUGCCCUAAAGUGGGGGAUAACAUUUGGAAACAGAUGCUAAUACCGCAUAAAACCUAACACCGCAUGGUGUAGGGUUGAAAGAUGGUUUCGGCUAUCACUUUAGGAUGGACCCGCGGUGCAUUAGUUAGUUGGUGAGGUAAAGGCUCACCAAGACCGUGAUGCAUAGCCGACCUGAGAGGGUAAAUCGGCCACACUGGGACUGAGACACGGCCCAGACUCCUACGGAGGCAGCAGUAGGGAAUCUUCCACAAUGGACGAAAGUCUGAUGAGCAACGCCGCGUGAGUGAAGAA